This is a non-coding RNA of Merluccius polli (Benguela hake), 72 nucleotides long. Lineage: Eukaryota; Metazoa; Chordata; Actinopteri; Gadiformes; Merlucciidae. The record is from the annotation of a GenBank genome assembly.
GGGCAUGCGUCUAGCGGUCAGGGGGUUCGACUCCCAGCCGAAAGAUUCCGGGUUCGAACCCCAGUGUCCGCA